GAUGAACGCUGGCGGCGUGCCUAAUACAUGCAAGUCGAGCGAACAGACUAGGAGCUUGCUCCUCUGACGUUAGCAGCGGACGGGUGAGUAACACGUGGAUAACCUACCUAUAAGACUGGGAUAACUUCGGGAAACCGGAGCUAAUACCGGAUAAUAUAUUGAACCGCAUGGUUCAAUAGUGAACGACGGUUUUGCUGUCACUUAUAGUUGGAUCCGCGCCGCAUUAGCUAGUUGGUAAGGUAACGGCUUACCAAGGCGACGAUGCCUAGCCGACCUGAGAGGGUGAUCGGCCACACUGGAACUAAGACACGGUCCAGACUCCUACGGGAGGCAGCAGUAGGGAAUCUUCCGCAAUGGGCGAAAGCCUAACGGAGCAACGCCGCGUAAGUGAUGAAGGUCUUCGGAUCGUAAAACUCUGUUAUUAGGGAAGAACAAAUGCGUAAGUAACUAGGCACGUCUUGACGGUACCUAAUCAGAAAGCCACGGCUAACUCCGUG
RNAcentral lists this ribosomal RNA (497 nucleotides) under uncultured bacterium. RNAcentral's name for it is "partial 16S ribosomal RNA". It matches the Rfam family "Bacterial small subunit ribosomal RNA", at positions 28 to 507 of the family's 1533-position model. The record is from RNAcentral.